AUUGAACGCUGGCGGCAGGCCUAACACAUGCAAGUCGAGCGGAUGAAGGGAGCUUGCUCCUGGAUUCAGCGGCGGACGGGUGAGUAAUGCCUAGGAAUCUGCCUGGUAGUGGGGGAUAACGUCCGGAAACGGGCGCUAAUACCGCAUACGUCCUGAGGGAGAAAGUGGGGGAUCUUCGGACCUCACGCUAUCAGAUGAGCCUAGGUCGGAUUAGCUAGAUGGUGGGGUAAAGGCCUACCAAGGCGACGAUCCGUAACUGGUCUGAGAGGAUGAUCAGUCACACUGGAACUGAGACACGGUCCAGACUCCUACGGGAGGCAGCAGUGGGGAAUAUUGGACAAUGGGCGAAAGCCUGAUCCAGCCAUGCCGCGUGUGUGAAGAAGGUCUUUGGAUUGUAAAGCACUUUAAGUUGGGAGGAAGGGCAGUAAGUUAAUACCUUGCUGUUUUGACGUUACCAACAGAAUAAGCACCGGCUAACUUCGUG
RNAcentral lists this ribosomal RNA (484 nucleotides) under uncultured bacterium. RNAcentral's name for it is "partial 16S ribosomal RNA". It matches the Rfam family "Bacterial small subunit ribosomal RNA", at positions 30 to 507 of the family's 1533-position model. The record is from RNAcentral.